GCCAGCCCGCUCAGAAACUUAAAGGAAGUUGACGGGGGCCCGCACAAGCGGUGGAGCACGUGGUUUAAUUCGAUGCAAACCGAAGAACCUUACCUGGUCUUGACAUCCCGGAGACCCUUAGGAAACUAGGGGGUGCCUUCCAUCUGGAAGAAUCUGGAGACAGGUGCUGCAUGGCUGUCGUCAGCUCGUGUCGUGAGAUGUUGGGUUAAGUCCCGCAACGAGCGCAACCCUUGCCUUUAGUUGCCAGCAGUUCGGCUGGGCACUCUAAAGGGACUGCCGGUGUUAAACCGGAGGAAGGUGGGGAUGACGUCAAGUCCUCAUGGCCUUUAUGACCAGGGCUACACACGUACUACAAUGGCCGAUACAAAGGGCAGCGACACUGCGAGGUGAAGCCAAUCCCGUAAAAUCGGUCUCAGUCCGGAUUGGAGUCUGCAACUCGACUCCAUGAAGUUGGAAUCGCUAGUAAUCGUGGAUCAGCAUGCCACGGUGAAUACGUUCCCGGGCCUU
Molecule: ribosomal RNA, 507 nt
Filed under: uncultured Desulfobulbus sp.
Lineage: Bacteria; Pseudomonadati; Thermodesulfobacteriota; Desulfobulbia; Desulfobulbales; Desulfobulbaceae
Description: bacterial SSU rRNA
Rfam family: Bacterial small subunit ribosomal RNA
Source: RNAcentral